Podarcis lilfordi (Lilford's wall lizard) is the source of this 137-nucleotide non-coding RNA. Lineage: Eukaryota; Metazoa; Chordata; Lepidosauria; Squamata; Lacertidae. The record is from the annotation of a GenBank genome assembly.
UUUCCAGUAGCACCUUAGAGACCAAUUUAGUUAUUGGUAUGAGCUUUCGUGUGCAUGCACACUUCUUCAGAAACCAUGCACACGAAAGCUCAUACCAAUAACUAACUUAUAGUUGGUCUCUAAGGUGCUACUGGAAG